This 76-nucleotide transfer RNA is filed under the name Escherichia coli. RNAcentral's name for it is "tRNA-Asn". It matches the Rfam family "tRNA". From Rfam's summary of the family: Transfer RNA (tRNA) molecules are approximately 80 nucleotides in length. Their secondary structure includes four short double-helical elements and three loops (D, anti-codon, and T loops). Lineage: Bacteria; Pseudomonadati; Pseudomonadota; Gammaproteobacteria; Enterobacterales; Enterobacteriaceae. The record is from RNAcentral.
UCCUCUGUAGUUCAGUCGGUAGAACGGCGGACUGUUAGUCCGUAUGUCACUGGUUCGAGUCCAGUCAGAGGAGCCA